RNAcentral lists this ribosomal RNA (485 nucleotides) under uncultured bacterium. RNAcentral's name for it is "partial 16S ribosomal RNA". It matches the Rfam family "Bacterial small subunit ribosomal RNA", at positions 28 to 523 of the family's 1533-position model. The record is from RNAcentral.
GAUGAACGCUGGCGGCGUGCUUAACACAUGCAAGUCGAACGGUGAACACGGAGCUUGCUCUGUGGGAUCAGUGGCGAACGGUUGAGUAACACGUGAGCAACCUGCCCCUGACUCUGGGAUAAGCGCUGGAAACGGCGUCUAAUACUGGAUACGAGUAGCGGCCGCAUGGUCAGUUACUGGAAAGAUUUUUUGGUUGGGGAUGGGCUCGCGGCCUAUCAGCUUGUUGGUGAGGUAAUGGCUCACCAAGGCGUCGACGGGUAGCAGGCCUGGGAGGGUGACCGGCCACACUGGGACUGAGACACGGCCCAGACUCCUACGGGAGGCAGCAGUGGGGAAUAUUGCACAAAGGGGGAAAGCCUGAUGCAGCACCGCCGCGUGAGGGAUGACGGCCUGCGGGUUGUAAGCCUCUUUUAGCAGGUAAGAAGCGAAAGUGACGGUACCUGCAGAAAAAGCGCCGGCUAACUACGUGCCAGCCGCCGCCGGAA